Molecule: long non-coding RNA, 1001 nt
Organism: Rhineura floridana
Lineage: Eukaryota; Metazoa; Chordata; Lepidosauria; Squamata; Rhineuridae
Exons: 3
Source: RefSeq, a predicted model, not a curated record
CAGUCUAGCACUCUAAUCACUAUACCACACUGGCUCUCUGCUGCGGAGACAUGUGUCGGGUGGAUGGCUGCUGUGGGGAUGGCAAGGGGCGACCAAGACCAAGUGGAAGAAAGGCCAGUAGCAUAAGUUCCCAUAAGCUCCAGAGCAAAUGCAAUGUGCUCUAGCAAAAGUGAGGCUGUUUACGUCAUAGAGGUGGGCUUGUUGCAGAAGGAGGAGAGAGAAGUCUGGCAAGGCAUUCACACACCCUGGGAGUAAGGACACAGAACUGAGCAAGGGGGGGGUAGACAGGGUGGGUUAGAGGCAAGACAACUAGGAAGAGCGAGGCAUCUCUCUUACCCUGUCCAGAUGGAGGAGCGUCUGCGUUGGGCAGUCCCUCCGUUUAACACAGGGAGCAGAGGCAGCCCCAACCCAGCAGGCAAAGGAGGUUUCCAAGCAGCAUCGCCAUGGGUUGCAUGUGUGUGUGCAAGGGAGGGCAGCGCCAGCAGUGCUAGAUUCAGAAAACGCUUCAGCUCAAGAAUGAACAGGUUGCAGCAAGGGAAAGAGGACAGUGUGCCAGCACAGCAAAGGCUUUAACAUAGUGGCAUCAGUACUUUCGAACGCUGCUCCUAUCGACAUCAGACAGGCAAGCAACAGGCAUUAUUGGAGUCCAAGGACACUCCAGGCAGGCAAAAUUACGUGGAGGUGCUAAGCAGGGUCACUGAAGAGUAUGACUGCAGAGUGGUUGUGGCCUGAGGAGAAUCCCAGGACCAGAGGGAGAGGCCGGGAGGACUGCAUUUGGCCCCCAGGCCUGAGGUUCCCCACCCCUGUAUUGACCCCUCUCUUCAUCUGAAUUUCAGGCCCCUGAUGAAAUCCAUUUUUAAAAAACCCAAAAUGGAGUUCUUUGGGGCUGCAAUCAGGAAUAUGUAAUUUUACAUAUAUAAUUAAUUUUAAUUACUUACAUGUAAUAUGUAAUUAAUUGUUUAAUUUUUGGUUUAGAAUGGGUAUAUCUCCACCCUGGGACC